UCAGGGAUUUACUCUCCUUUAUAAUUUACCAUUGCAGCCAGAAGCUUCUAAAUGGUUUGAACGAGAAAAAAAGUUUAUGAAAAUGACCCAAUCUAACUGAAAUGUAUUUAACUGAGAUUGUUCAUUUUAUGGACAGUUGUUCCUUUUCAGGCACUUGAAUCAUCCUCAUGAAUUCCUUUUUCUUUUUUUUUCUCCUCCUUUCUUUCUGUCUUCAGUUCCCAGGCUAGGGGUCUAAUCGGAGCUGUAGCCUCUGGCCUACACCAGAGCCACAGCAAUGCCAAAUCCGAGCCGCGUCUGCAACCUACACCACAGCUCACCGCCACGCCAAUCCUUAACCCACUGAGUGAGGCCAGGGAUGGAACCUGCAUUAUCAUGGUUCCUAGUCGGAUUCACUUCCGCUGCACCACAACAGGAACUCCUAAAUUCUGUUUGACUUUUGUUUCUAACGCAGCACAUUUUAUAUCUGCAAAAUGUGGUGAGCACAGAGCCAUUGAUAAAAACAGAUUGCCUGAGUCUUUGACUUCUAAGUGUUUAUGCUGGAAGGAAUCACCUGUGCUGGUUUAGCUUUGCCCUUUCAUGUGGGAUACAGUUCUGGGAGAGUCUUAGUCCUGAACCCUUUGUGUGUGUACCUCUUGCCCCAUGGGCCGCUCACCUGUUUCAGGAAAUCACUUUGAGCAAAAUGAUACCUUCUCUGAGGGUCUGGCACUUUCUCAGCAGAACCAUGUGACACUGACAUGGAGAACAGGGCAGGGCAUACAGAUGUGUCCACCUGUCCUGGGAGCCUGACUUCUGUGAAAACUUUAAAACCAGAACUUUCUUUGAGAACUUUCAUAAAUAUCAAGCGAUUUAGUGGCAGCCAGAAGCAAAGACCAGGCUUUUAGCCCCUUUCCUUGUCUCUGGACCUUUGUGGUUGUCACCCACGAGUGGGAAGAACUGCAGUAUGGGUGUUGGGUGAGCUGGGGAUGUCACAGGGUCUUCUCAUUCUGAAUGAGGGAUGGGGAGGGACCUGAUUUCCCAGGCCCGCCUCUUCCUGCCUGAGUCCUGCAUGAGUUUCCUGCACCAGUGCUAUGUUUGGGCUUGGAGAGCGCAAAUGCAAAGGGGACUGUCUGAGCUGCCCAUGUUGAACCGCAGUGCCUGUUGACUCUUGUGCCUUUUACCUGGAAAAGUGAGGGCAGCCUCUACCAAGUUAAGGGGUGCCUUCAGAUCCGCAUUUAGAUUCUGUGGACGGGUGGUAGAUCCGCUCUUCUUUGUGGCUGAUGCUGCCCUGUUGGGAAGGGAGCAUUUGGUUCCAAGUGAUUUAGAGACUUUUCCACCAUGAGAUAAUCAUAUUUACUGAGAUGGUGCUUAGCACUGGUACUUGUCAUUUUAUCACUAAUGGCUGUGUUUCUCUUUCCACGGCUGUGGGUUUUAUCUGGCCGUCCCUCAGGUACCCUGAAAGCUUUGACUAGUGCUUAAAAAGGUAGGUUCAGGAAAUGCUGUUUCUGUAUUUCUUUUCUCCCUAUUUUCCCCCUUGUUGAACAACAUGAAACUGCCAGGUUUUAUGUUCCAGUGGGCAGCUGCUGCCAGUCUGAUGUUUUUCUCUCCCCUUCCUCCUCCCCCCCGCCCCACACCCAUGCCCCCUCCCCCAGAGACACCCCCCCCCAUUCUUGCUCUGCUCUGAGGGGAGCUGUACCUUUGUGGUUCUUCUGCAGCUGCCGGACUUUGAUGGGGACAUGCUUGCUG
RNAcentral lists this long non-coding RNA (1722 nucleotides) under Sus scrofa (pig). RNAcentral describes it as "lncRNA (ENSSSCG00050075953.1)". The record is from RNAcentral. Lineage: Eukaryota; Metazoa; Chordata; Mammalia; Artiodactyla; Suidae.